RNAcentral lists this ribosomal RNA (463 nucleotides) under uncultured bacterium. RNAcentral's name for it is "partial 16S ribosomal RNA". It matches the Rfam family "Bacterial small subunit ribosomal RNA", at positions 29 to 507 of the family's 1533-position model. The record is from RNAcentral.
ACGCACGCUGGCGGCGUGCUUAACACAUGCAAGUCGUACGGUAAGGCCCUUUCGGGGGUACACGAGUGGCGAACGGGUGAGUAACACGUGAGUAACCUGCCCACAACUUUGGGAUAACGCUAGGAAACUGGUGCUAAUACUGGAAAUGUGCUCCUGCUGCAUGGUGGGGGUUGGAAAGCUCCGGCGGUGUGGAUGGACUCGCGGCCUAUCAGCUUGUUGGUGGGGUAGUGGCCUACCAAGGCGGCGACGGGUAGCCGGCCUGAGAGGGUGACCGGCCACAUUGGGACUGAGAUACGGCCCAGACUCCUACGGGAGGCAGCAGUGGGGAAUAUUGCACAAUGGGCGCAAGCCUGAUGCAGCAACGCCGCGUGCGGGAUGACGGCCUUCGGGUUGUAAACCGCUUUCAGCAGGGACGAAGCUUUUUGUGACGGUACCUGCAGAAGAAGCACCGGCUAACUACGUG